This 467-nucleotide ribosomal RNA is filed under the name uncultured bacterium. RNAcentral describes it as "partial 16S ribosomal RNA". It matches the Rfam family "Bacterial small subunit ribosomal RNA", at positions 28 to 506 of the family's 1533-position model. The record is from RNAcentral.
GACGAACGCUGGCGGCGUGCUUAACACAUGCAAGUCGAACGGAAAGGCCCUGCUUUUGUGGGGUGCUCGAGUGGCGAACGGGUGAGUAACACGUGAGUAACCUGCCCUUGACUUUGGGAUAACUUCAGGAAACUGGGGCUAAUACCGGAUAGGAGCUCCUGCUGCAUGGUGGGGGUUGGAAAGUUUCGGCGGUUGGGGAUGGACUCGCGGCUUAUCAGCUUGUUGGUGGGGUAGUGGCUUACCAAGGCUUUGACGGGUAGCCGGCCUGGGAGGGUGACCGGCCACAUUGGGACUGGGAUACGGCCCAGACUCAUACGGGAGGCAGGAGUGGGGAAUAUUGCACAAUGGGCGGAAGCCUGAGGCAGGAACGCCGGGUGCGGGAGGACGGCAUUCGGGUUGUAAACCGCUUUCGCCUGUGACGAAGCGUGAGGGACGGGAAUGGGGAAAGAAGCACCGGCUAACUACGU